GAUGAACGCUGGCGGCGUGCCUAAUACAUGCAAGUCGAGCGAACGGACGAGAAGCUUGCUUCUCUGAUGUUAGCGGCGGACGGGUGAGUAACACGUGGAUAACCUACCUAUAAGACUGGGAUAACUUCGGGAAACCGGAGCUAAUACCGGAUAAUAUUUUGAACCGCAUGGUUCAAAAGUGAAAGACGGUCUUGCUGUCACUUAUAGAUGGAUCCGCGCUGCAUUAGCUAGUUGGUAAGGUAACGGCUUACCAAGGCAACGAUGCAUAGCCGACCUGAGAGGGUGAUCGGCCACACGGGAACUGAGACACGGUACAGACUCCUACGGGAGGAAGCAGUAGGGAAUCUUCCGCAAUGGGCGAAAGCCUGACGGAGCAACGCCGCGUGAGUGAUGAAGGUCUUCGGAUCGUAAAACUCUGUUAUUAGGGAAGAACAUAUGUGUAAGUAACUGUGCACAUCUUGACGGUACCUAAUCAGAAAGCCACGGCUAACUACGUG
RNAcentral lists this ribosomal RNA (497 nucleotides) under uncultured bacterium. RNAcentral describes it as "partial 16S ribosomal RNA". It matches the Rfam family "Bacterial small subunit ribosomal RNA", at positions 28 to 507 of the family's 1533-position model. The record is from RNAcentral.